AGCAGCCGCGGUAAUUCCAGCUCCAAUAGCGUAUAUUAAAGUUGUUGCAGUUAAAAAGCUCGUAGUUGAAUUUCGGGGUCAGUAGGUUGGUCGUGCCACCGGUACGUACUGGUCUCACUGAUUCCUCCUUCCUGAUGAGCUGUAAUGCCAUUAAUUUGGUGUUGCAGGGAAUCUGGACUGUUACUUUGAAAAAUUAGAGUGUUUAAAGCAGGCUAACGCUUGAAUACAUUAGCAUGGAAUAAUGAAAUAGGACGUUCGAUCCUAUUUUGUUGGUUUCUAGGAUUGACGUAAUGAUUAAUAGGGAUAGUUGGGGCAUUAGUAUUCAAUUGUCAGAGGUGAAAUUCUUGGAUUUAUUGAAGACUAACUACUGCGAAAGCAUUUGCCAAGGAUGUUUUCAUUAAUACAAGAACGAAAGUUAGGGGAUCGAAG
Molecule: ribosomal RNA, 429 nt
Filed under: uncultured Glomus
Lineage: Eukaryota; Fungi; Glomeromycota; Glomeromycetes; Glomerales; Glomeraceae
Description: SSU rRNA
Rfam family: Eukaryotic small subunit ribosomal RNA
Source: RNAcentral